UACCAGACUCCUACGGGAGGCAGCAGUGGGGAAUAUUGCACAAUGGGGGAAACCCUGAUGCAGCGACGCCGCGUGAGCGAUGAAGUAUUUCGGUAUGUAAAGCUCUAUCAGCAGGGAAGAAGAUGGCGGUACCUGACUAAGAAGCCCCGGCUAACUACGUGCCAGCAGCCGCGGUAAUACGUAGGGGGCAAGCGUUAUCCGGAUUUACUGGGUGUAAAGGGGGCGCAGACGGCGAUGCAAGCCAGGAGUGAAAGCCCGGGGCCCAACCCCGGGACUGCUCUUGGAACUGCGUGGCUGGAGUGCAGGAGGGGCAGGCGGAAUUCCUGGUGUAGCGGUGAAAUGCGUAGAUAUCAGGAGGAACACCGGUGGCGAAGGCGGCCUGCUGGACUGCAACUGACGUUGAGGCCCGAAAGCGUGGGGAGCAGACAGGAUUAGAUACCCCUGUAA
This 447-nucleotide ribosomal RNA is filed under the name uncultured bacterium. RNAcentral's name for it is "bacterial SSU rRNA". It matches the Rfam family "Bacterial small subunit ribosomal RNA", at positions 329 to 793 of the family's 1533-position model. The record is from RNAcentral.